GAGAGUCGGAUACUUUGAGAGUAGUGUCUUAAGGGGGUGGUAUGUCCCAUCCAAGGCUAAAUAACGUGAGGAGACCGAUAGAUUACAAGUAGUGUGAACGAAAGAUGAAAAGAACUCUAAAACAGAGGGUGAAAAGUUCGUGAACUUGCUUAGGGUUAAGGCUAUUUAUAGUACCCGUCUUGAAACACGGAUUAGGGAGUUUAUCUGUAGUGCGAGUCUUUGCACGUUAACUGUAAAGGCGUAGAGAAAGCAACUGGCGUUUGCAUGGCUACUGAGCAUUACUGAUAGGACCCGAAAGGUGGUGAACUUUGCCUGCACAGGUUGAAGUCAGGGGAAACUCUGAUGGAGGACCGUACGGGUUAUUGAUGUGCAAAUCAUUUUUCUGAUGUAGGUAAAGGUGCGAAAGACUCAUCGAACCACCUAAUAGCUGGUUUCCUCCGAAGUUUCCCUCAGGAUAGCUGUAAUGCAUUUAGUUAAGGGGAGUAGAGAUAUGGGUAGAGGUGCAGGGAGCCUUCGGGUUCUCAACUUAUUUCCAAACUUCGAACCUCCUUGUUAGGCAUUUACCUAACUGGAAAUGCUUAAAUGAAUUAGCGUUACAAGUGGGCUCUGACCGGUAAGCGGUCAUGGCGAAAUGGGAUGAACCAUACGUCUGAAUAAGGUGCCGAAAUGUACUAUCACUGAUACCAUAAAGGGAGUCCAUGUAUUUAGACAGCAGGUCGGUGCCCCUAAAAGCAGGUAUCCGCUAAAGAGUGUGUUAAAACUCACCUGCCGAAUACUAGGGCCCCGAAAAUGAAUGGCGCAUAUAGUACUACCGAUCUCAGACAUCAGUUCUAUUGAACUGAGAGUAGGGGGAUGUGGACAUUUUUGUGAAGGUGCAAUGUGAGUUGGACUGGAAGAAUGUCUAUUACAGAUCCUAAUUGAAGUAGCGAUUAUCCAGGCUUGUAUCCUGGGGGCUGAUGAGGAGUAGGGUUUCUGGACAACUUAAACAGAUCCAGAGUUAGUC
Molecule: non-coding RNA, 1003 nt
Filed under: Trichomonas vaginalis G3
Lineage: Eukaryota; Parabasalia; Trichomonadida; Trichomonadidae
Description: Eukaryotic large subunit ribosomal RNA
Rfam family: Eukaryotic large subunit ribosomal RNA
Source: Rfam by way of RNAcentral